UGGUUUAAUUAGUUUUACUAAGAUUUUAUUUGUUUUUCAUAAUUAAUUUUAAAAGUAUUGGCGGUAUUUAGUUGAAUUCUGAGGAACUUGUUUAAUUAAAGUGAUAUUACACAGUAAAUUUUAUCUAUAAUUAUUUUAUGUAUUGCUGUUUAAUUUAUUAUUAAUUAUUUAAAUGAAUGAAAAAUAUUAGUAAAUUAAUAUCUCAAGUCAAAAUGUAGAGUUUUAUAGGGUUGAAUGAGUUACAUUUAUAUUGAUAUAUGAAAAAAAAUAAGUUAAAUGAAAUGUUUAAUGGAAGAGUGGAUUAGGGAGUAAAAAGAGAGUAAUAAGUUUUUUUGAUAAAUUUUACUAGUAUGU
This 354-nucleotide ribosomal RNA is filed under the name Draculoides carmillae. RNAcentral's name for it is "partial small subunit ribosomal RNA". Lineage: Eukaryota; Metazoa; Arthropoda; Arachnida; Schizomida; Hubbardiidae. The record is from RNAcentral.